RNAcentral lists this ribosomal RNA (1094 nucleotides) under Epicoccum nigrum. Its description in RNAcentral is "eukaryotic LSU rRNA". It matches the Rfam family "Eukaryotic large subunit ribosomal RNA", at positions 74 to 1186 of the family's 3401-position model. Lineage: Eukaryota; Fungi; Ascomycota; Dothideomycetes; Pleosporales; Didymellaceae. The record is from RNAcentral.
AUUGCCCUAGUAACGGCGAGUGAAGCGGCAACAGCUCAAAUUUGAAAUCUGGCGUCUUUGGCGUCCGAGUUGUAAUUUGCAGAGGGCGCUUUGGCAUUGGCAGCGGUCCAAGUUCCUUGGAACAGGACGUCACAGAGGGUGAGAAUCCCGUACGUGGUCGCUAGCCUUUACCGUGUAAAGCCCCUUCGACGAGUCGAGUUGUUUGGGAAUGCAGCUCUAAAUGGGAGGUAAAUUUCUUCUAAAGCUAAAUACUGGCCAGAGACCGAUAGCGCACAAGUAGAGUGAUCGAAAGAUGAAAAGCACUUUGGAAAGAGAGUUAAAAAGCACGUGAAAUUGUUGAAAGGGAAGCGCUUGCAGCCAGACUUGCCUGUAGUUGCUCAUCCGGGUUUUUACCCGGUGCACUCUUCUACGGGCAGGCCAGCAUCAGUUUGGGCGGUUGGAUAAAGGUCUCUGUCAUGUACCUCCUCUCGGGGAGAUCUUAUAGGGGAGACGACAUGCAACCAGCCUGGACUGAGGUCCGCGCAUCUGCUAGGAUGCUGGCGUAAUGGCUGUAAGCGGCCCGUCUUGAAACACGGACCAAGGAGUCUAACAUCUAUGCGAGUGUUUGGGUGUCAAGCCCGAACGCGUAAUGAAAGUGAACGGAGGUGGGAACCUUUCGGGGUGCACCAUCGACCGAUCCUGAUGUCUUCGGAUGGAUUUGAGUAAGAGCAUAGCUGUUGGGACCCGAAAGAUGGUGAACUAUGCUUGAAUAGGGUGAAGCCAGAGGAAACUCUGGUGGAGGCUCGCAGCGGUUCUGACGUGCAAAUCGAUCGUCAAAUUUGGGCAUAGGGGCGAAAGACUAAUCGAACUAUCUAGUAGCUGGUUCCUGCCGAAGUUUCCCUCAGGAUAGCAGUAACGUUUUCAGUUUUAUGAGGUAAAGCGAAUGAUUAGAGGCCUGGGGGUUGAAACAACCUUCACCUAUUCUCAAACUUUAAAUAUGUAAGAAGUCCUUGUUACUUAAUUGAACGUGGACAGUUGAAUGUAUCGUUACUAGUGGGCCAUUUUUGGUAAGCAGAACUGGCGAUGCGGGAUGAACCGAACGCGGGGGUUAAGGU